ACUGUAUCUAGUCUCUUGAGACAGAAGGUGGUGGAAGACAGCAACAGGGAUGGAACCAGAGACUCUCAUACUGAGUGAAGUAAGUCAGAAAGAGAAGGACAUAUACCAUAUGAUACCCCUUAUAAUUGGAACCUAAUAUAUGGCACAGACGACCCUACCUACAGAAAAGAAACACACUCAUGGACUUGGAGAACAGACUUGUGGUUGCCCAGGGGGAGGGGGAGGGAGUAGGAUGGACUGGGAGUUGGGGGUUAGUAGAUGCAAACUAUUGCAUUUGGAGUGGAUAAGCAAUGAGAUCCUGCUGUGUAGCACAGGGAACUAACUCUACCUCAUCACUUGCGAUGGAACACGAUGGCGGAUAAUGUGAGAAAAAAAUGUAUGUAUACAUUUAACUGGGUCACUUUGCUGUACAAUAGAAAUGGACAGAACAUUGUAAAUCAACUACAAUAAAAUUAAAAAAAUAUAUGAUGGAAGAUAGUAUCAGAAAAAGACUGUAUGUAUAUGUAUGACUGGAUUGCUUUGCCAUACGGCCGAAAUCGACACACAUUGUAAUUGAGUAUACUUUCAUUUAAAAAAUUUUUUAAGAGCAUGGAGUGUUUAACGGGACAGAUCUUAUUCAGAUCAAGUUGGCUUCUGCCUCCACGGUUCUUUGUUUUGUUUUCGCUGUUUUCAGUCUUUUACCACAAGCAUUGGUGAACUUCUAUUUAAAAGGCACACUCAGAGCAACACCAAGGAAGAGCCUAACACCCACCCAAACUGAACGGCUUUUCAAGACAGAGGAUUCCCAGUCCCAGUUGGACAAAGGUGAAGUAGACACAAAGUCCGGUCCAGCGUCCGAGGUCCACGUGCGGGAGGAGGCACCGCCCUCCAGCUGGCACCUUGCCGCCAAUCAGAGCAGGCCCUUCGGUGAAGGAGGGGGCGCGCCCUGUGCGGGAGGGCGGGGCCAGAAACCUGUCUAUCACCGAAUCCGCUGUGGCAGCACCUACCACACCAAGGCACCUAGGC
RNAcentral lists this long non-coding RNA (1005 nucleotides) under Sus scrofa (pig). RNAcentral's name for it is "lncRNA (ENSSSCG00070007289.1)". Lineage: Eukaryota; Metazoa; Chordata; Mammalia; Artiodactyla; Suidae. The record is from RNAcentral.